GAUGAACGCUGGCGGCGUGCCUAAUACAUGCAAGUCGAGCGAACAGACGAGGAGCUUGCUCCUCUGACGUUAGCGGCGGACGGGUGAGUAACACGUGGAUAACCUACCUAUAAGACUGGGAUAACUUCGGGAAACCGGAGCUAAUACCGGAUAAUAUAUUGAACCGCAUGGUUCAAUAGUGAAAGACGGUUUUGCUGUCACUUAUAGAUGGAUCCGCGCCGCAUUAGCUAGUUGGUAAGGUAACGGCUUACCAAGGCAACGAUGCGUAGCCGACCUGAGAGGGUGAUCGGCCACACUGGAACUGAGACACGGUCCAGACUCUUACGGGAGGCAGCAGUAGGGAAUCUUCCGCAAUGGGCGAAAGCUUGACGGAGCAACGCCGCGUGAGUGAUGAAGGUCUUCGGAUCGUAAAACUCUGUUAUUAGGGAAGAACAAAUGUGUAAGUAACUAUGCACGUCUUGACGGUACCUAAUCAGAAAGCCACGGCUAACUACGU
This 496-nucleotide ribosomal RNA is filed under the name uncultured bacterium. RNAcentral describes it as "partial 16S ribosomal RNA". It matches the Rfam family "Bacterial small subunit ribosomal RNA", at positions 28 to 506 of the family's 1533-position model. The record is from RNAcentral.